This is a non-coding RNA of Triticum urartu, 1724 nucleotides long. NCBI's taxonomy places the organism in Eukaryota, Viridiplantae, Streptophyta, Magnoliopsida, Poales, Poaceae. The record is from RefSeq and is a predicted model, not a curated record.
ACCCUCGCCUUUGCCCUUGCCGAGCCCUCGCCACCGCCACACCUCAGCCCCCUCGCAACCACGACAGCACCUCAGCCCGCUCGCCGCCGCGUUCGCGCGUCAGCCCGCUAGACAUCCUCGCCUCCGCGGUCGCACCUCUGCCCGCUCGCCGCCCCCGUCGCAACCCAACGCCCCCUCCAAUGGAUGCCGCCCGAACUACAUCAUCCUAUAGGACGCCGGCCGCGGCGUCACGAAGUUGCUGGUAUCGCCCAGUUCGCCGUGGGUGAAGGCGCCUCAGACGCAAGCGAAGCUGCAGCUUCCUCAACGUAUGCCUCACCGUGGGGCUCGCUGUGCUGCUGGCGGACAGCGCGACCCCGCUGGUGUGGUGCGAGACUUCCAGAUCACCCGACGGCUGGGGUUGGAGGAUGGCAUUCCCACAACUCCUCAUCGGGGGUGAGCGUGGCCUGGAGCAGCAAGCCCAUAGCUCCCUCAACCAUCAUGCUAAUCUCUUCUUGUUAUUCAUCCUGAAUCUAUGGUGCACAUACAGUACAUGCUUAUGUAUUGUCUCAAUGAUUAUCCUAUUUUUUUAGGAUUCAACUUGCGUUUUGUGCAAUUUCAUAUACUCAAUCAAUAAAUUCUCAGUUUUUUUGCAGGAUUUGUGUUUGUUCGGAUGCUUAGGUGCAGCUGCAUCAAGGGAAUUGGCCGACGGUGUGCAAUACAUAGACAAAGCAAAAGUCAGUAUGGAGCAAAUACGAGUUCGGUUGCUCUUCUGACAAUUUCACCUUGAUUUUGUUGUUAGUGACUGAUUGAGGCGUCACUCCCACCACGGUGGUGACGGCAACCUUCCCCCUCCAGCCGUUGUGGUCGCAGCGUACCGCUCCAAUGCCAUCUGACACAACCGUCUUGUGGUGGAGGAGGGCCACCUCGAACACAUUGGGAAGCGGUGAGCGUGGGCUUCGCCACAUGUUCUGCCGAGUCAUCGAUGUCAGUUUCUAGGUUUGUGAGUGCACUGUCUGGUGCUUCUUUUUACGAUGUCUGUCAACACAAGCACAGCGUGCUCCAAGUAUGAACGGAGAGAGUGCUCCCAUUGGGUUCUACAUGUGGACAUUGUGGCCGGUGAGGCAUAACUGUAAGUUUCUCUGAUGGUCGACAACAAGGUACCCCGCUGCUCUGAAUUUUUACAUGGUUAAUGUGAGUUGAAUCAUCAAAGGUCUGCGCGUUGGUAAUGGUUGAAAAAUUCAUUGCAUUUGAGAAAACUGAUCAGUCUAUCAGUUCUCUAAUAAUACAUAUUACAGAAUGUACCUUUCUGUCCGAUCGUAGGAUCACUGCACAACAGGCUUUGGAGCAGGCUCUGAUUCACGGAGAACUCCCCAGCAACCUCAUCUUUUGUGGAUAUUAGAUGGAUAUUGAAUCCAACUACCUCUGCCUAAAGAUUUGAGGUGUGACUCAAAUUUCGUGCUGUUAGAAAUCAACAAUGGAGAUUUCAGUUUUUUCAUGUAUAUUCGUACGAAUUUCAAGUUUAAUGGAUCAUUAAAUUUUAUUCUAUAAUCAGAUCUUGGUAUGUUUUCAGAUUUUUCAGAGAAGAAAGAAGUCUAGAGGCGUGGAUGUAUGUUUUUAGGGGGGAAUCAAGUCUGCAGAAUAUACACUAAUUUGAGGAAUUCAGAUGUUACCCUUGGUCAUACAGGGAAAGUGUGAAGCACUCUGGCCAAUUUUCCGCAUUUCUCAUCCAAGAAGCCGUUACAUUU